GAUGAAGAACGUAGCGAAAUGCGAUAAGUAGUGUGAAUUGCAGAAUUCAGUGAAUCAUCGAAUCUUUGAACGCACAUUGCGCCCCUUGGUAUUCCAUGGGGCAUGCCUGUUCGAGCGUCAUCUACAACCCUCAAGCCCUGCUUGGUGUUGGGCGUCUGUCCCGCCCCGCGCGCGGACUCGCCCCAAAUCCAUUGGCGGCGGCCCUUGCCUCCCUCUCGCGCAGCACAUUGCGCUUCUCGAGGCGUCGCGGGCCGCGCUCCACGAAGCACGCAAACCAGUCUUUGACCUCGGAUCAGGUAGGGAUACCCGCUGAACUUAAGCAUAUCAAUAAGCGGAGGA
RNAcentral lists this unclassified non-coding RNA (339 nucleotides) under soil metagenome. RNAcentral describes it as "partial contains 5.8S ribosomal RNA, internal transcribed spacer 2, and large subunit ribosomal RNA". The stretch from base 1 to 120 matches the Rfam family "5.8S ribosomal RNA", at positions 35 to 154 of the family's 154-position model. The record is from RNAcentral.